CUGGCCGUAAACGAUGGACAUUGGGUGUGGGUGAAGCAGUUCAUCCGUGCCGUAGCAAACGCGUUAAAUGUCCCGCCUGGGGACUACGGCCGCAAGGCUGAAACUCAAAGGAAUUGACGGGGGCCCGCACAAGCGGUGGAGCACGUGGUUUAAUUCGAUGCAAACCGAAGAACCUUACCUGGGUUUGACAUACAGGUGGUAAAAAGAUGAAAGUCAGCUGACCUUAGCUUGCUAAGGAGCCUGAACAGGUGC
RNAcentral lists this ribosomal RNA (252 nucleotides) under uncultured Synergistaceae bacterium. Its description in RNAcentral is "partial 16S ribosomal RNA". It matches the Rfam family "Bacterial small subunit ribosomal RNA", at positions 796 to 1041 of the family's 1533-position model. Lineage: Bacteria; Thermotogati; Synergistota; Synergistia; Synergistales; Synergistaceae. The record is from RNAcentral.